Molecule: ribosomal RNA, 253 nt
Filed under: uncultured bacterium
Lineage: Bacteria
Description: partial 16S ribosomal RNA
Rfam family: Bacterial small subunit ribosomal RNA
Source: RNAcentral
UACGUAGGGGGCAAGCGUUGUCCGGAUUUACUGGGCGUAAAGGGCGCGUAGGCGGCGUGACAAGUCACUUGUGAAAUCUCCGGGCUUAACUCGGAACGGUCAAGUGAUACUGUCGUGCUAGAGUACAGAAGGGGCAACUGGAAUUCUCGGUGUAGCGGUGAAAUGCGUAGAUAUCUGGAGGAACACCGGUGGCGAAGGCGGCAUCCUGGACCGACACUGACGCUGAGGCGCGAAAGCUAGGGUAGCAAACGGG